Molecule: RNA transcript, 1681 nt
Organism: Phragmites australis (common reed)
Lineage: Eukaryota; Viridiplantae; Streptophyta; Magnoliopsida; Poales; Poaceae
Exons: 11
Source: RefSeq, a predicted model, not a curated record
GCCUGCUAAUCUAGAGCCGCAGCUGCAUCUGAUUUUCGGAUUCGCCUCCCAAAACCCACCCGGUGCCCGGGGUGCCAAAAAUCGACACGCGCACCGGCCCUGUGCUAGACGCCCGUGCCGAGCCGACCUCCUCCGCCGCGGCGCGCCGCGAUGAGCCUCUCCCACCGCCUGCCCCCCGCCGCGGCGGCGGGGGAUCCCUACUACUUGUACGCGCCGCCGCCGCCGCCGCACCCGGACCCGCAGCGGCAGGGCGUCCUCACGCUCUUCGUCGCCGGCCUCCCCGACGACGUGAAGCCCCGCGAGAUCCACAACCUUUUUUCCCACCGCCCCGGCUUCGACCACUGCCUCCUCGAGUACACCGGCCGCGGCAACCAGGCGGUUGCAUUUGUGUCCUUCUUCACUCAUCAGGCGGCCCUGUCGGCAAUGACAGUUUUAAAUGGAACAGUUUUUGAUCCGGAGACUGGUGACCGUUUGCACAUUGAGCUAGCUAAAUCUACUUCACGCAGACCUCGUGGAGGCGGUGAUGUAUACCGAGUUAUCGACAAACGAGUUAACAUAACAGAAGGUAACGCUGACCAUGAGACAAUUGGUGAUGAAGGUGAUGAUGAAGCAUGGCGGGAGGAAGAGGAUGGUGAUAAUGAUGAUAACGGUGAUGAAGGAUCUGAUGAGCCAUCGGGCACCGAAAAUGAAAAUUCCAGCGUUAAGAAUGAAUUACCUGCGGAUCAGAGUGGUCGACCAGAGCACAAGCAGCGGAAAGGGCAAUCUCCAUCAAAUGAUGAACCAGACAAAACUUCAGGUGAUAUUCCACCUUGUUCUACUCUAUUUAUUGCGAAUUUGGGACAUGCAUGCACAGAGAAAGAGCUAACGGAAGUUUUAUCCAAGCAACCUGGAUUUCAUGUGCUUAAAAUGCGCCGCCGUGGUGGAAUGCCUGUAGCUUUUGCCGAUUUUAUGGAUACUGAAUCAUCUACAGCUGCUAUGAAUAACCUCAAAGGCACUACGCUGUCUUCUUCUGAUAAUGACGGAUUGCACAUUGAGUACGCAAGGUCAAAGAUGAGGAAAAGCUAGCUAGAUAGCAGUUGUUGGACUGCCAGGAUUGGCAUGUGAUUUCCGGUCCGGUCAUCCUGAAGGCAAAAUACAGGAAGAAUCCCAUUGAAAUCGAUCUAAGACACGUGAGCUCUCGAGAGACUUCUAGGAGCGACUCAUAGGCGAUUCGGUGACUUGGCCGGCACCCUCACCUCUGAUGGCCUCCCGACGUUGGAGCUGGAGGGUAGCCUGGCCCUGACGGUUGGGUUAGUUUAUCUAUUACGUAGCUUGGUAGUUAGGUUAGUAGUUUAAGUGUUUGUGUUUGUUUGUUGUGUUUUGGAAGAUGUUUGGUGAUAGGUAUGUGUAUGCGUAUGUGUUUAUGUAUGUGCGUUUGUUGUACUGUCUUUGUGAAGGAGUGCGAGCUUUAAGUUUGGGUCGACCACAUGCUCAUCGGAGGCGUCGGUUCUUCCUUUCGAGUCAUCGACGUGUUUCACGGUGUUGGGUUCCUUUCUAGCUGGCGAGCUUGCCCGAUGCGUUCAUCGCUCUCAAUGCAUUCUGGUAGCAGGAUGUUACUCUUGGUGGUUGCUGUAGUGAUAAUGGCUGUAUUAAGUCAUGAUUGUGAUUUUAGUGAUUAAUGACAAUAUAUUCACAAGACUAA